CGGAGGGGGGUCAAACAAUUAUGAUAAAAUAUGGGUUUUUUAAAAUAUCUGAUUAUAUUAUACUAUAUAUGUGUUUUCUUUAAUAACUAUGGUGUAAAGUGUGCUGCAAACAAUCGACUAAUCGAAAGUCUGGAUGAAAACAUUUUAUUGGCUUUUUUAUUAUCUGUUCAACUGAAAAUUCCAGAUACGUUAGAGUUGGCACCUACUAAAAUAAAAUAUGAAAAAAUAUUUAUUGAUGUUAUAAAAUUAUUAAGGGAAGAAAUACAGAUAACAGAAGAAACGGAAGAAACUCAAAAUUACAAUAUACAGGAUAUGAAAGCAGCUCUUGAUGGGUUCACUAAAAUAUUGGGUUUUUUUAAGGCAGGGGGGGGUUGCAAACAAUAGGUACCUACAAUGGCUAGGCAAAGAUUUUGAAAAUUGCCUGUUUAAAAACACAGAAUGUGAAAAAAUAACGUCGAAAAAUUGUGUAUUAUCCGCUAUGGAUAUGUUACCAUACCAAGUUGUACCAACUAAUUGUAUCGAUUGUGUUGUAUAUGCAUUAAAAUAUGCAUCCCACGCAAAACAAUUACUAUUACAAUUAUCUAACAUUCAAGUGUGUAAUAAUGAAAAAAAUUUAAAAUUAAUGAACUAUAGCAUAGAUAUAAGUUUAGUUAGAGAAUAUCAAUUAUAUGAACGAGUUUUAUCCAAAUUAAAAGUAUCUAAAAAUUUGAAAAGUAAAAUAUUUAUUAUUAAUAUUCAUAAUGCUACUAAUUUGAU
This is a long non-coding RNA of Piliocolobus tephrosceles (Ugandan red Colobus), 756 nucleotides long. RefSeq lists it as uncharacterized. NCBI's taxonomy places the organism in Eukaryota, Metazoa, Chordata, Mammalia, Primates, Cercopithecidae. The record is from RefSeq and is a predicted model, not a curated record. The transcript is spliced from 3 exons.